UAAGGAAUAUUGGUCAAUGGGCGGAAGCCUGAACCAGCCAUGCCGCGUGCAGGAAGACGGCCCUACGGGUUGUAAACUGCUUUUGCAGGGGAAUAAACCUCAUUACGUGUAAUGAGCUGAAUGUACUCUGAGAAUAAGGAUCGGCUAACUCCGUGCCAGCAGCCGCGGUAAUACGGAGGAUCCGAGCGUUAUCCGGAUUUAUUGGGUUUAAAGGGUGCGUAGGCGGCCUGUUAAGUCAGGGGUGAAAGACGGUAGCUCAACUAUCGCAGUGCCCUUGAUACUGAUGGGCUUGAAUGUACUAGAGGUAGGCGGAAUGUGACAAGUAGCGGUGAAAUGCAUAGAUAUGUCACAGAACACCAAUUGCGAAGGCAGCUUACUAUGGUAUGAUUGACGCUGAGGCACGAAAGCGUGGGGAUCAAACAGGAUUAGAUACCCCCGUAGUCC
Molecule: ribosomal RNA, 444 nt
Filed under: uncultured bacterium
Lineage: Bacteria
Description: bacterial SSU rRNA
Rfam family: Bacterial small subunit ribosomal RNA
Source: RNAcentral